RNAcentral lists this ribosomal RNA (253 nucleotides) under uncultured bacterium. RNAcentral's name for it is "partial 16S ribosomal RNA". It matches the Rfam family "Bacterial small subunit ribosomal RNA", at positions 524 to 776 of the family's 1533-position model. The record is from RNAcentral.
UACGUAGGGCGCAAGCGUUAUCCGGAAUUAUUGGGCGUAAAGAGCUCGUAGGCGGUUUGUCGCGUCUGCCGUGAAAGUCCGGGGCUCAACUCCGGGCCUGCAGUGGGUACGGGCAGACUAGAGUGCGGUAGGGGAGACUGGAAUUCCUGGUGUAGCGGUGAAAUGCGCAGAUAUCAGGAGGAACACCGGUGGCGAAGGCGGGUCUCUGGGCCGUAACUGACGCUGAGGAGCGAAAGCGUGGGGAGCGAACAGG